GGGAAAUGGGAUGGGAAACUCAAUCCCAUGAAGUUUGAAUGGAAUGAGUUUACCCCCAACUUUCCCCUAUGUCAGGAAAGCAUUUCCGGACUUUGUGGUUACCAAACAAAGGAAAUGAAUAACUUUCCUUUCCCAAGUCCUCAAAUCCGCGAAACAAACGAGGCUUAUCAUGGAGACUCUUAUAGAUAGUGGGGAGCCUUACAAUUUCUCUUUUGAGGGCUCGAGGCUUAGUUACCGGCUCAAGCCGAGGCGACAUUGUGAAAAGACGAUUUUGCCCCUGCCUUCUGUCUCUUGCCUCGACGACACCUGCCGUACUGCUCUGUGGAGUUUUGACAGACAGAGAGAGCGAAGAGAGCAGAGGAAGAAGGGAAGGGUUGUGAUAUUGGGUUUGUCAUCAGCAAGGAGGAGGGAGAGGAGGAAGAGCAUCGUUCUUCAUUAAUGUGUUUUGGGCUGAGGCAGGAGAAGAGAAAUCUGGAUUUUUCACUUACUUGAUGUCAAGCGCAAUGGGGUUAUUGAGUUUGGAGAAUUUGUUCGAUCAUUAGGUAUCUAUCUCACCCCAAAUGCACCUGUACAAAACAAUUGCAUCUGCGUUUAGACGGUAUGAUAUGAGACAAACAGGGUUCAUUGAAUGAGAGAAGGUUUGUUUCACAUUGAAACAUCCUUGAUCCCACAGUCUACAAGGAUAUGAUAUUGAGGACGUUCUAAAAUUUGUGCAUUGGCUUGAUGGAUAACUUGCAUCGUUGGGAAGCCAGCAUUGAACCAGCAACAUCAUCCGUAGAGACCAUCAAGGCAUCAACAAGGAGAAAAACGAGUGAGGUGUCAUGACACUUUUGUGCAGACAGAAUUGGAGGAAGCAACUUUUUCGACAACUUCCAUAACUCCCCACCACUAGGCUAACAGCUUUUCAGCAUACACAUGCUAAUAGACAUCAUCACCUAUUUUUGGCAAGCUGAUCAAGCAGUGAUUGUAACUAAGUUAGUCUGCAACUAGAACAACCUAUUUUUUUAACACUGCCACAACAUCUACGUUAGUGGAGAAAACUAUUUUUUGCAAGCUGUUCUAGCAGCAACUGUAACUAUGUUAGCCUUAAACUAUGACAACCUAUUUUUUGAACACUACCACAACAUCUGUAUUGGUGGUAAUGUUACUAGGACAUGAUCUGCAUCUUCUGUUAUAAAUGAUUUGCCGUCAGAAUCUUGUACUUUAUGCAGUGAUCAUACCA
This is a long non-coding RNA of Rosa rugosa (rugosa rose), 1222 nucleotides long. RefSeq lists it as uncharacterized. The record is from RefSeq and is a predicted model, not a curated record. The transcript is spliced from 7 exons. Lineage: Eukaryota; Viridiplantae; Streptophyta; Magnoliopsida; Rosales; Rosaceae.